ACCAGCGAGCGGAGACUCGGGCACCGAGGGGCGGCGGGGAGCGGCGCGGGAGAUCAGGGAGCGCAGCCCGCGCAUCGCGGUGCGACCAGCCGAGGUUUGAGCCCCGCGCCCCAGAGCUGAGGUCCCGCGGCAGCGGCGCGCUCCCGCCGCGCCGGGAGCCGUCACCGCCCGCGGUGCAGCACGACAGCAGCUGCCGCUGCCGGUAGCGCCCAGCUGAGGAGCCGGAGCCUCUCCCCGCGUAUGGAGGAGCCUCCCUCUUUCCCUCCCUCCCUCCUUCCCUCCCUUUUCCCCUCCUUCUCUCCCUCUCUCCCAGUCCGCUAAGGCGGGCAACGCAGCCAGGUGGUGCCGGCUCGCCCUGCGGCCGAGGCCCCUCCGCCGGCGCUGCCUCCUCCGCGGGCAGCGGCCGGGCUCCUCCAGGCACUCGGGCGGCGCUGGGAGGCUGCCGCCGCCGGGACGCGGCUGUAGGGGGAAAAGCGAGGGGCGGAGAUGGGGCGCCGGCUGUCCCCAAGAGCUGCCGGCAGGGCCCAGGAGCAACGGCGGAGGAAUGAGGCAGCAGCCGGGAGGGCCCGCCUGAGCCGGGCAGCGGUGCGGGGCCGCACCGCACUCCUGCAAACGCCGUUCCCCCUGCUCGGCUGCUCACCUCCUGCCCUAGCUAAGUGACCCGCUGGAGAGGACCGAAGAUGGUGCAUUAUUACUGCCGGGUGUUUUGGGAGAGGUGGGGGAAGCAAGCGGAGAAGGGAGGGAGGGCAUGAUUUUAAGAGUCAAAGGGAAAGCGGGGCGGGAGGGGGGAGGUGAGAGCAACUUACACACCAAAAAAGCCCAUCCUGGGGAAAGAUAAAAAAUAGCCACAACAGCAUUGAAAGUUGCUCGAUUUGUGAUUUGCAUUAUAACGCUGCCGCUGCUGCCUGGCUUCUCCGACAGUGUGCCCAAGGAACGUGUAAGAUGGGAGAGGAGGAGCUAUAUACUUUGUCUGUGCUUUCCCUUCCUGGCGGCAGUUCGCUCUUUCAACCUCUCUUUCUUUAAAAAAGAACUAACACCCAAAACCCAACCCCCCAACGGCUCACACCCCACACAACCCACUCCUUUGAUGGAGAAGUGGCUCCAGGUGGUGAUUUCGGAGUUGCAAGCCGAGUUUCCUUGGGAAAGGGGUGUGUGUAGAGCACCCCUGAGAGUGCCCCUCUCGGGUUUUGGGCCCUCGAGUUUGGCAGCCCGGGCAGAGGAAGGAGCAGGCGCCCAUGCCUUCCUGGAGGAAUGUCAGGUAGUGCCCGGCGGCCACGAACGGCGGCAGCGCCCCAGCCCAGGGAGAGGGGAGGCCGCCGCCUGUUUUCUCUUGCUCCUCCCGCUGUGCGAGUCGAGAUCAAUGAUUAGUGGUUCUGUUUUCGGCGAGGAAAAGAAAAAAAAAAAAAGGAAAAAGAAGUCUGGAUAAAAUCUAACUUUUAUUUACCAAAAAUUCAUGCCCUGAUUAAAAAAAAUAGCACCAAACCUUAACCCAGAUUACGCAGUUAAACAUCUAAUCGGGGACAGUGUGGCUGUUUGCCAGAUCUAUGAUCCAUUAACCUUUUUAGCUCAUUGUUGGCAGGCAACAAUAGCACACGAUUAAAUUCUUACAUUUUACAGACAAGCCAUUUUCUUUCACAGUAAACUCCCCUAUCCUAUGUUGCAAUUAAAAAUAUGGUAUCUUCAACAAUAAAAAUAAGGAAGAAAUACUGUAAGUUUUUAGCUACUUUGUGUUCAUUUUACGGGUAAAAACCUUGUGCUUUGCUCCAGAUAAUAUGUCAAAAGGUGGACAGUAGCAUAUUAAAAAUUCUUAUAGCAAGUAUUUUGGAUAAUUUUACCUUCACAAAUGAAUUAUAUACUAUUUAGACUGUGUACCACUCAGUUUUAGUUGCAGUUCUUUUUACAGAGAGAAACCAAGCAAAACUCAACAUAAUCAAAAUAAAAGUAUGAAAAUAGGAUAUAUAGAGCCCUUUUUUUAUAUAGAGCCCUAUAUGUUAUAGAUGUAUAUACACAUGUAUGCCCUUUAAUAAAAAAAAUUCUGUCUGAAGUUAUAUAUUCAUACAUAAAUGUUUGUGCAUGUGUACAUAUUAUAUGUAUAUAUAUAUACACCCAUUAUAUCAAUAUUUCAAAGUAAUUUAAAAAUUCAGAAUAGAAAAGAAGCUAAGCUAAAAAUACAGCUCUCAACCACCUGCCAAGUUACCACUUGGAGAAGUUGUAGAAUCACUGAUAGUCGUAGAAUCAUUGAUAGUCAUAGAAUCACUGAUACAGAAAGAAUAUGAAAGUUAUACCUUGCACCUCAUUCUUUACGUGAACAACUUAGGUAAUAGAAAUAUAUCCAUGGAAAAAAGGAAGUACAAUGUUUUCUGGUUUGGGUUUGGUUUUUUUUUGGUGUAGGACGUUAGGCUGUGGCCCUAAUUACCAAAAUACUUGUUUUGUAAAGUCUGCAUUCAGAGAAGUUGAAUCUGUCACUGCUGUCUCUCUGGAAGCGGAAGAUAAAUAGCAUGUGCAAAAAAGGAUAACUGAUGCCAUGAGGAUCUGCAGAAAAGGAAUGGGAAAGGUGAUGGGGAGUAGGGCUAUCCAGGUGACAACAGUGAAUACAGGAAGCUGGUAUGUUACAGGGGAAGCUGGGCCUGUUAACAAGUGCCAUCUCAUGUGGAGGAGGCAGCAGGAAAGAAGACCUUCAUUCCUUUUGUUAUGGUCAGGCUGUGCUGUAAAACACAGCCUACUGCUCAUUACUACUGUUAAUUAGAUGGUAAGAUAAUGCCAACCUCUUCUCAAGACCUCCACACAUUGUUUCUAAAUCCUCUGUGGUUUAGGGAAAGUCCUUUCAAGAACAACAAACAUAAGACUGAAAAAUGCUAGAAGGUCUAAGUUCAUUCGACUCAUCUUCUUGAGGAAGGUUUUAGGAAUGUAUUUUUUGUCACCCUGACAACUCCUCAGACAUGGUCAGCUGGCAUUGUGCUGUCCUAGCCCAAAGAGAGAAAGGUCCAAGACUCUUUAUUGGCUAUUUAAUUGUUUUAAUCUGGGAAAAUGUAGUCUUGAUUCCAUUUUCACUAAGAUCGGUAAUAAAAUUAAGAAGUGACUGCUACAUUAGCAGAACGUUUUGUGUGUGAGACUGCCCAACUUCAAGAGCAGACAUUAGGGAUGGAAAAGACAUGUAAAUCUACACUGUAUAGUGUUAAAUUUAGGAUAUAUUUUCACCUGUUGUAGCAAGAGUAGUUAUUAAUAGCUCUAAAAAGCUUAUUGCUAUGGUAGAUAAUAUGUUAAAUAUUGAAAGCAGUUAUAUUUCAGCUGGUUGCUUUUUCUCUCUGUUUUCUUCACUAAAUCCAAAGAAUUUUCUCCUUCCUUAAGAGCUGUCUACUGUAGUAGGAGAGAGGUAUAAGGUGUUAUACAGAUUGUUCCAUCUUUGCAUAUGUUGUGUAGGAUAAUCACAUUGAUAUUAUUUGAUGCAAAACUGUAAAAUUCCUGACUAUCCAAAAUUCUCAACUUCCAUGUGGUACAAAGGUAACAGAUAUUAGAUAGCCAUAAUUUUAAGGAAAUACAAAGUUGAGCCUCUGUUCUUUAAUGAAGUUCUGUUUGUUUCCUUUUUAUCUUUUUCUACUACAAAGGGAAUUAUCCAACAACUAUAUUGUAUUCAUUUUCAGUAUUGUAACUUGAAGAAAUAUGUACCAUUUAUUACAAACAGUCUUUGAUGAGAAAUAAGAAACAAAGAAGAAUUACAAGAUUGAAAUGCCAGCCUUUAUUAUAUUUGGUAUAUGGCUACAUUGGUUUCCAAUCUCAGUAACACCUUUAAACCAAGCGAGUUUUUGGCACUCAAAAGGGUUUUCCAAGAGAGUCAAAAUGCCACCGAUUGGUAUAGGAUGACUACUCUUCAUUAUAUAACAGUACAGAACCAAGAUGGUAGCAUUUUUUAAUGUAAAAUUCAUGUUUCACUAAUAAUUCUGGAAAUUAGAAUGUUCCUUUAUUUGUUAAACAUCUAGUCUGUCAUAAAUGUAUGUUUUAUCUAAUUAUAUCCCAAUUUUUCAAACUUGCAUUCUGUUCCAUGCAAAGUGUCUCAUCUGCCAACUUUUUAUUAACUUAUGUCAUGUUGACUUAUUUUUUGAAAAAAACCCCUGUGCUUUUCAAGAACUUUGUAAAAAGUCGAUGCGUUUAAGGAUCUUACAGGAUUAUGUAUACUCAUGCAUUACAAUAAUAGACAUAAUUUUUAAGAAAUCUAACCAAUUCUGUUAAGAAAUUCUAUCAGUUCUGUUAGAUUGGAACUUGCCUUCAUAACCCACUAAAAACAUGCUUCACUGACUCAGUAAAUACUAUAUGUUUGAGCUGUCUGCAUAUUAUUGACUUUUCUGGUUUCUGCAAAGCAUUACAUCAGAAGUCCCUUCCCCCCAUUGUUUUCAUACUAGAAAAAUCAAUUCAAAUCUUAGAUAUACAAAGCAACAAAGGUAAGCUAACCUUGAUAUAUUUCAGAAUUUAUAAAAUCUCCUUGUUUGUUUUGUUGAAGCUCUGCUUUGCAGGCUUAUCUUCAGCACCCGAGAGUUUUACAACUCUUUCUGAAUAUAUGGGAAAACAUACUAAACAAUAAUAGGCUGAGAGGCAGCUUAUUUAAAAUCAUAGGGGAGUGUGACUAGCAUGUUAAAGAGAGACUUUCAUUUUGGGGAAAAAAAUUUCAAAGGUACUAGGCUUAGAAUCAUGUUCUGCCUUCAAAUGUCCAAGCAUGAUUCCCUUUAGGAAAAAAAAAGAUUGUAUGUAAAGACAUAACAUUAAUUUUAAUGGAAGAUCAAUGGAUAUAUGCAGAGUUAUUUGGUCAUUGGGCACCAACACUAGUCAUCUUUUUCAGAGUUUUAUGAUGGUUUUGCUACUCUGUUCAGUUCCAAACUAACAAACAAAGCCUACUGACUCUUGUUUUUCAUUAAGAUAAGUAUUGACAAAAUAAGUGAGGUUUGCAUAUCUGAGGAAUAACUCAGCUAUCUUACUGCCUAUUCCACAUUUCUUCCUGACACUGCCAUUGUCUUAUCCUGCUUUUAACUUAUAAGUUUGCUGAAUUUCAGUGAUUCAACAUGAAAUUCAGUAUGCUGUCUCAGGCUGCAUGUCUUUAGCAUACCCAACCUAAAAGGCUCUGCUAUACUUGAGAAUGAGAUUGAGGGACAUUAUUUUGUUUCAUUUCUUCCUAAUAUAUUCCUUGUAAGGUUUAUUUUUUUAAGAACUCUAGCACCUUUGGGUAAUGAGGAAGAGACUUAUAAGUUGGCAGGUUGAUAAGUAUUGGUUACGUUAAGCAUGACUUGGUAUCGCCAUGAAAAUUCAUUUACAUUUUUCCAGUUCAUGAGCAUUUGGAAGUUCAGUUCACACAUGCUAAAUAGCAGUUUGUUAGAGUUAUGCAAUUAAAUGCAUAUGUUUAGCUGCUCUCCAUCCAGUUAGAUUCAGAAGUGGCCUGGAUUUGUCUCUCCCAAUGCUGUUGCUCUUAAGCAAGAGGGUCUGUUUUUCCUCUGCUCUCCAUUUUGUUUAGAGCCAAAGGUGCACUGAGAAGUAGUUCAGUUGAGUGCUGGAAUGCAAGAAGUCUUCUCUGGAUUUCUUGGGACUGGGGAGCUGGCAAGGAUGAAGUGAGAGGGAUUUCAGUGGUGAAGAGUGUAGAAGAAAGAUCUGAGACCUGAGAGGAACUGGUAAGGAAGAGAUUGAAUUCAGAUGACUAACUGCUAGGUGCAGAAAAGGAGCAUCAGACAGGACAAUGGAUCUCUCUGUGUGGCAGUCAGAUGGGAAAACUAUGUGAGAAGUUUAUCAUUUUGGAUAUGCUGAUAAGCAAAAAGAAGAAAUCAAAAUACGGAAGACUAUAGCUGGCUAAGAGAAAAGUCAGGUGGAAACAAGCCAGUGAAGAUGAGAAUGAGGUCCCAGAAGUGGCGGAGAGAGCGAGAGAACUGGAACAAGAUAUAAAAGCAGGAAAGUCUGUAAUAAAAAAGUCAGAAAAGAAAUACAAAAAUCUGUAAUACUAGAGCAUACUGCCAGGCAGAUCUUGGAAAUGAGCCAACUAUCCCAAACCUCAGCAUUUCGCUGUUAUCAAUAAAUAUCAGUUGUCAAAGUGUG
Long non-coding RNA from Pseudopipra pipra, 6069 nucleotides. RefSeq lists it as uncharacterized. The transcript is spliced from 2 exons. The record is from RefSeq and is a predicted model, not a curated record. Lineage: Eukaryota; Metazoa; Chordata; Aves; Passeriformes; Pipridae.